ACACCUCAACUCUCGUGGUCCGCCAUGAUGAGCUUGGACUUUGGGGGUCUUGCCGGCCUAACGUCGGCUCCUCUCAAACGGAUCAGCUUGCCAGUGUUUGGUGGCGUCAUGGGUGUGAUAACUAUCUACGCUUGUGGUUUUCCACCAUGCAACCUUCAGCGAUGGAGGUUCGCUGGAGCUCACAGAUGUCUCUCCUCGGUGAGGACAGCUUUUGAAC
Molecule: unclassified non-coding RNA, 217 nt
Filed under: uncultured Thelephoraceae
Lineage: Eukaryota; Fungi; Basidiomycota; Agaricomycetes; Thelephorales; Thelephoraceae
Description: sequence contains ITS2
Source: RNAcentral